UGUAAUUUAGUUUGUAGAGGCACUAUUCUUCCCCAUUAGCUGUCACCAAUAAUUCAUGAUAUACUAAAACCUUCAUGCAAAAACUAAACUUAUUGUUUGGAAAUAAACAUAACCAUUGCAUGCAUACGUUAUUCGUUUCAGUCAAGUCUAACUUCUUGUUGAUUUACUAAUCGCCUCGGCAGCUCAAGAAACUGCUCUUGCUUCCACCACGGAUAGGUCUAUUUCCAUCACUUUGACCGACCUGGAUGUGCUUGAUUGUCCCAUUUGCUAUGAAUCCUUGACCAUCCCCGUCUUUCAGUGCUCUGGUUUGGGGGUCUAGCGCAAAACACAAGCCCCAAAGAGUUGGAAAGGAGCAUCUGCUCGAAGAUGAGGAUAUUGUUCAGAUUAUCAAAAAGGUGUGAUUUGGCAGGAACUCAGAAAUAUGUGCAACCUUAGUAUCAAGAUAUCGUUUGUAGGACUAAAGCUUUUGAGACACACAAGCUUGUACUUUGCAGAGUAUACAUCACUCUUUUUGUCUAUUCUUUUAGUCGUAA
Long non-coding RNA from Rosa rugosa (rugosa rose), 533 nucleotides. RefSeq lists it as uncharacterized. The record is from RefSeq and is a predicted model, not a curated record. Lineage: Eukaryota; Viridiplantae; Streptophyta; Magnoliopsida; Rosales; Rosaceae. The transcript is spliced from 3 exons.